This 253-nucleotide ribosomal RNA is filed under the name uncultured bacterium. RNAcentral describes it as "partial 16S ribosomal RNA". It matches the Rfam family "Bacterial small subunit ribosomal RNA", at positions 524 to 776 of the family's 1533-position model. The record is from RNAcentral.
UACGAAGGGAGCUAGCGUUGUUCGGAAUUACUGGGCGUAAAGCGCACGUAGGCGGGUUGUUAAGUCAGGGGUGAAAUCCCGGAGCUCAACUCCGGAACUGCCUUUGAUACUGGCAAUCUAGAGACUGGAAGAGGUUAGUGGAAUUCCCAGUGUAGAGGUGAAAUUCGUAGAUAUUGGGAAGAACACCAGUGGCGAAGGCGGCUAACUGGUCCAGUACUGACGCUGAGGUGCGAAAGCGUGGGGAGCAAACAGG